Molecule: long non-coding RNA, 808 nt
Organism: Oncorhynchus keta (chum salmon)
Lineage: Eukaryota; Metazoa; Chordata; Actinopteri; Salmoniformes; Salmonidae
Exons: 3
Source: RefSeq, a predicted model, not a curated record
ACCUUGUUUCAGGCUUCGACUGUGAAGGGAGAGCGAAUGAGAGCUGUUUCAACCAGGUGUCUGGCAGAAUGCCAUGAGCUCAGUCUCAUGCACGCCCGUGAGAGCGACCUGCGUUCCAUUGCAUUUCUGAAGACAAAGGAAUUGUCCGUGCUCGUGCCUGGAUUUGUGAACUAAAGGCACAAACAAAAAGGAGGUAUUUGGACAUAAAUUAUGGACUUUGUCGAACAAAACAAACAUUUAUUGUGGAUCUGGGAUUCCUGUCCCUUCACAGGCUGAGAAGGAUCCUCCUAUAAGAGCAGAACAUUAGUCCUUGUAGACGUCUUGGAGGCCCAAAAACGUCUCAGCUGCAGAUAUAAUGAUGACCAGCUUCUUGGAUGUCUUGUGUAGCACAAUUAAUAACUGUGGUUAUAAAUACUAAAAUAUCCACCUUCACAAUAAGUGUAUCCAGAUCACUUGAUUGAUGUACAACAUUUACAACUGGUUGAGGUGCAUCCACCACCAUAUCUUCUAUAGAACUGUGGCCUCUUGCCCCUAUAACUCUCUUAAAUACACUUAGGUUGGAGUCAUUAAAACUCGUUUUUCAACCACUCCACAAAUUUCUUGUUAACAAACUAUAGUUUUGGCAAGUCGGUUAAGACAUCUAAUUUGUGCAUGGCACAAGUCAUUUUUCCAACAAUUGUUACCAGACAGAUUAUUUCACUUUUAAUUCACUAUAUCACAAUUCCAGUGGGUCAGAAGUUUACAUACACUAAGUUGACUGUGCCUUUAAACAGCUUGGAAAACGAUGUCAUGGCUUUUGAAGCUUCUG